GUCUACAGCCAAACCACCCUAGACGGGCCCGAUCUCGUCUCGAUCUCGGAAGCUAAGCAGAGUCGGGCCUGGUUAGUACUUGGAUGGGAGACCUCCUGGACUGGAGAGCUCCUGGGAACACCGGGUGCUGUAGGCU
Delphinapterus leucas (beluga whale) is the source of this 136-nucleotide ribosomal RNA. The record is from Ensembl. Lineage: Eukaryota; Metazoa; Chordata; Mammalia; Artiodactyla; Monodontidae.